Molecule: ribosomal RNA, 590 nt
Filed under: Arthrobacter sp. SM-63
Lineage: Bacteria; Bacillati; Actinomycetota; Actinomycetes; Micrococcales; Micrococcaceae
Description: bacterial SSU rRNA
Rfam family: Bacterial small subunit ribosomal RNA
Source: RNAcentral
GCGACGACGGGUAGCCGGCCUGAGAGGGUGACCGGCCACACUGGGACUGAGACACGGCCCAGACUCCUACGGGAGGCAGCAGUGGGGAAUAUUGCACAAUGGGCGGAAGCCUGAUGCAGCGACGCCGCGUGAGGGAUGACGGCCUUCGGGUUGUAAACCUCUUUCAGUAGGGAAGAAGCGAAAGUGACGGUACCUGCAGAAGAAGCGCCGGCUAACUACGUGCCAGCAGCCGCGGUAAUACGUAGGGCGCAAGCGUUAUCCGGAAUUAUUGGGCGUAAAGAGCUCGUAGGCGGUUUGUCGCGUCUGCCGUGAAAGUCCGGGGCUCAACUCCGGAUCUGCGGUGGGUACGGGCAGACUAGAGUGAUGUAGGGGAGACUGGAAUUCCUGGUGUAGCGGUGAAAUGCGCAGAUAUCAGGAGGAACACCGAUGGCGAAGGCAGGUCUCUGGGCAUUAACUGACGCUGAGGAGCGAAAGCAUGGGGAGCGAACAGGAUUAGAUACCCUGGUAGUCCAUGCCGUAAACGUUGGGCACUAGGUGUGGGGGACAUUCCACGUUUUCCGCGCCGUAGCUAACGCAUUAAGUGCCCCGCC